This 670-nucleotide ribosomal RNA is filed under the name Hyphomicrobium sp. L2017. Its description in RNAcentral is "bacterial SSU rRNA". It matches the Rfam family "Bacterial small subunit ribosomal RNA", at positions 24 to 740 of the family's 1533-position model. The record is from RNAcentral. Lineage: Bacteria; Pseudomonadati; Pseudomonadota; Alphaproteobacteria; Hyphomicrobiales; Hyphomicrobiaceae.
UCAGAACGAACGCUGGCGGCAGGCCUAACACAUGCAAGUCGAACGCUGUAGCAAUACAGAGUGGCAGACGGGUGAGUAACACGUGGGAAUCUUCCUAUCGGUACGGAAUAGCUCAGGGAAACUUGGGGUAAUACCGCAUACGCCCUUCGGGGGAAAGAUUUAUCGCCGAUAGAUGAGCCCGCGUCUGAUUAGCUAGUUGGUGAGGUAAUGGCUCACCAAGGCGACGAUCAGUAGCUGGUCUGAGAGGAUGACCAGCCACACUGGGACUGAGACACGGCCCAGACUCCUACGGGAGGCAGCAGUGGGGAAUAUUGGACAAUGGGCGCAAGCCUGAUCCAGCCAUGCCGCGUGAGUGACGAAGGUCUUCGGAUUGUAAAGCUCUUUUGGCGGGGACGAUAAUGACGGUACCCGCAGAAUAAGCCCCGGCUAACUUCGUGCCAGCAGCCGCGGUAAUACGAAGGGGGCUAGCGUUGUUCGGAAUUACUGGGCGUAAAGCGCACGUAGGCGGAUUUGUAAGUCAGGGGUGAAAUCCCGGGGCUCAACCUCGGAACUGCCUUUGAUACUGCAAGUCUCGAGUCCGAUAGAGGUGAGUGGAAUUCCUAGUGUAGAGGUGAAAUUCGUAGAUAUUAGGAAGAACACCAGUGGCGAAGGCGGCUCACUGGAUCGGUAC